GAUGAACGCUGGCGGCGUGCCUAACACAUGCAAGUCGAACGAAGCACCUUACCUGAUUCUUCGCUUGAAAUUUUGGUGACUGAGUGGCGGACGGGUGAGUAACGCGUGGGUAACCUGCCCUGUACAGGGGGAUAACAGCUGUAAACGGCUGCUAAUACCUCAUAAGCGCACUAGGAGACAUCUCCUUGUUUGAAAAACUCCGGUGGUACAGGAUGGGCCCGCGUCUGAUUCGCUGGUUGGCAGGGUAACGGCCUACCAAGGCAACGAUCAGUAGCCGGGCUGAGAGGCUGAACGGACACACUGGAAGUGAGACACGGUCCAAACUCCUACGGGAGGCAGCAGAGGGGAAUAUUGCAAAAUGGGGGAAACGCUGAUGCAGCAACGCCGCGUGAGUGAAGAAGUAUUUCGGUAUGUAAAGCUCUAUCAGCAGGGAAGAUAAUGACGGUACCUGAAUAAGAAGCUCCGGCUAAAUACGUG
This 477-nucleotide ribosomal RNA is filed under the name uncultured bacterium. RNAcentral's name for it is "partial 16S ribosomal RNA". It matches the Rfam family "Bacterial small subunit ribosomal RNA", at positions 28 to 507 of the family's 1533-position model. The record is from RNAcentral.